Molecule: long non-coding RNA, 528 nt
Filed under: Gallus gallus (chicken)
Lineage: Eukaryota; Metazoa; Chordata; Aves; Galliformes; Phasianidae
Source: RNAcentral
CAUCUCUGAGCUUCAACUUUGCGAUUUGGUCGGAUGACAGUCGAAGUGACUUCUUGUAAGAUGGAAUGUUCCCAUGUGUUGGAUGCUCUAUUGGAGCAGCAUCUAUUUUCAAGGAUUCCUUCAAUUCUUGUGAUGCUUCAUCACUAGAUGAAUCAUCUUCUGGGGGUCUACUAUUAACUUGCUCUUUUAUAGUUGCUGGCAGUUCAUUUGUUCUUUGCGUCUCAGACUUCCCCUCUUUUGCCUCUGGUAUCUGUUUAGUCAUGCUUUCUCUCUUGCGCCAGAACCACCACCUUCCAGAUUUCUUUGGCAUCUUUUCUUUGACCCAAGAUUCAACAGUAGCCUUAGGCAAACUUUUCUGAAAUACUUGCAAACUCAGAAUCAUUGGAGCAGCCAAUGCCCAGUUAUAAUACCUGUUAUAAAUCCUUAUUACCAAAUUAGGAUUGUCUAUGAGUCCAGGGUUUUCAGCAAAUUCAUGAUAAGUAAUAAUAUGCUCCAUGAACUUUUCUUUAGAAAUCUCGCCAUUUUCAU